Long non-coding RNA from Coturnix japonica (Japanese quail), 2238 nucleotides. The record is from Ensembl. NCBI's taxonomy places the organism in Eukaryota, Metazoa, Chordata, Aves, Galliformes, Phasianidae.
GCCUACGUCCAGGUAAUGUCAGAGUUUGAGGACACUGCUGGCAACACUCUUUGAGUGAAAAACUUAUUCCUCUUGAGAGUGCCAAGGUAGUUCUGCCCAGUAAUGAGAUCACGCCAUUUGUGCGAGCUCCUCCCUUCCACAGCCUUUGUAUCUGUGGACCUGUUUCAAACAAAAAAGAUCUGAAAAAUCUGGGUCCAACAGGGGUCACAAAUAGGAGUGACAGGCUGCCCAGAGCUCUGCUUGGGAAGAGGACAUCUGCAAAUGGAUGUGUAUGAACUGAUGGAUCACAGACCGACUUGUCAGGAAGAGGCAGAAGAUGCAAACACCGCAGGAUGAUGUUGACUAUGAGAAGACCAGGAGAUGUACAACACUGAAGGAGAACUGUGCCCUUGCUGAGAGCCAGCAGGCCCAGACACAGAAGGAGCUUGUGAACCAAGCUGCCAGAUGUUGCUGGAAGAGAAAAUGCCAGAAGAAAGCUUCAAGAAAAUUUGAGAUUAAAUUAAGAAGAUUUGUAAAUAAAUCUCACUUCUGUUCAUGGUGUCCUUAACAUCAGGUUCUUUCUAUCGGGUUGGAGAUUAGGGCAGCCACCGCCAAGUGGGAUCCCCAUCAACUUCCAACUUCCUUGUCCCGUCUGGGCAUUUUCUCCAGCUUUCUGCUCUUUUCUGGCCAAAGGAAGGAUAUUACCUCUGCUCACCACAUCCUCCCUGCCAACCACUUGUGUCCUUUUCCCAGGAUUUUUGGAGAGGACACCAUCUCCCUUCCCUGCAGAUGUCUCAGCCUGACCCAAAGCACGGCAGCCAGGCCGGAGCAAACUGGUGGCAUUUCUCUUUGUUGUUUGGCCAAAUCCUUUCAAAUGAACGUAACAUAUUAACAUACAACCAGCUGUGAGCAAAAUGCAUACCAUCUGUCACAGCAAUUUAAAACCACUGUUCUCAUGGACUGACUUCUUGGAAGUUAUUGUAAGUGCCGUGGAUCAAGUUAGAACAGGAGUCUGGACUUUGCAGUUACUUUAGGGAUGCCUCUUCUAGGGCAAAUAAGUGCAUUUCCAGUGAGCAUAAGCACUGACGUCAAUGAUCCUUCAAGGCUGGGGUGUCAGACUACUUUAGAGGCUAAAUGAACUGGCAGAAAGCCUACAGAGCCCAGGAGGUCAUGUGUAUGUGCAAGGUCCCAGGCCCUGCCACGUCAGAGACUGUGGGAGUUGGAAAUGAAGGGCGAUGGAUGCUUUGAGCUGACCCACUCUUGCUGUCCAGCUCUGUCCAGAUACUGCUGCUAGCUCUGGGGACCUGGCACUAGAAUGCCUUUCAGAAACCUGGGUUCAAUUUAGGCCUUGAAUAGGUUACACAGCUUGCUUUGGGCUCCUGAAGUGUUCAGAGGACAACUUGUAAACAAGUAUGCAGCUUGUGCUGCUGUAGGUAGGGUGCAUAGAGGUUCAGAGACCUGCAGCAAAACAUACCAAGAGGAAAAGAGGAAAUAAUUGUUUCAAACUAGAACAGGGGAAAUUUGGACUGGAGAUAAGGAAAGGUUUUUUUACAAUGGGAGUGGUGAGGGCAAUGAAACAUGCUGCCUAGAGAAGCCCUAUCCCUGGACACAUGCAGGGUCAGGCAGGACAGGGCUCUAAGCACCCUGCUCUAGCGGUAGGUGUCCUUUUUCAUUGCAGGGCAAUUGGAAUACAUGACCUUUAAGGGUCCCUUCCAACUCAAUGGGCUUUAUGGUUCUAAAGUUCUAUGUUCCUAACUCUGCAGGAAAGUGUGAGGUACUCAUACCUCGGAGAGUGACCUCUUGCAGACCAUCUCUGUCAGCCUGCCCUGCUGAGUUGGGAUGAUCUUUUUCCCCUAGCACAAUCCUCCAGGCCUCAGGAGCAAAGUAUGGCUGAUUUGGGAUCUUCGGUGGGACAGGCUUGUGUCUGCAGGCAGAACAAACACGUCUUCACUCCUUUCCUUCCAUGUGCUGUCCUCUGGAUCCUGUUGCAGAGGCACUGAACAGUACUACCUUGACUGGUCAUUUUUGAGCAUAUUCAUUGUGCACUAACCUAAAUUUCUGCUGUUGCAUUACUUUUUCUAACUUCUUCAGUUCCAAACUGCAAGAUCCUUAUGGAGAUCUAAGUACACGGUGGCAACAUUAUGGCCUUUACCAACAACAUUUGUAAUCUCAACAGGAAGAUGUAUGUUUGUUUGACAAGAGCUAUUUCUCAUGUACCUGUUGCAAAUAAAUGUGUUUUCUGCUGCCCCUUUACUCCCA